This 253-nucleotide ribosomal RNA is filed under the name uncultured bacterium. Its description in RNAcentral is "partial 16S ribosomal RNA". It matches the Rfam family "Bacterial small subunit ribosomal RNA", at positions 524 to 776 of the family's 1533-position model. The record is from RNAcentral.
UACGUAGGGUCCGAGCGUUGUCCGGAAUUACUGGGCGUAAAGAGCUCGUAGGUGGUUUGUCGCGUUGUUCGUGAAAACUCACAGCUUAACUGUGGGCGUGCGGGCGAUACGGGCAGACUUGAGUACUGCAGGGGAGACUGGGAUUCCUGGUGUAGCGGUGGAAUGCGCAGAUAUCAGGAGGAACACGGGUGGCGAAGGCGGGUCUCUGGGCCGAUACUGAUGCUGAGGAGCGAAAGCGUGGGGAGCGAACAGG